This 490-nucleotide ribosomal RNA is filed under the name uncultured soil bacterium. Its description in RNAcentral is "bacterial SSU rRNA". It matches the Rfam family "Bacterial small subunit ribosomal RNA", at positions 26 to 501 of the family's 1533-position model. The record is from RNAcentral.
AGAGUGAACGCUGGCGGUAGGCCUAACACAUGCAAGUCGAACGGCAGCACAGUAGGAGCUUGCUCUUACGGGUGGCGAGUGGCGGACGGGUGAGGAAUACAUCGGAAUCUACCUUUUGGUGGGGGAUAACGUAGGGAAACUUACGCUAAUACCGCAUACGCCCUUCGGGGGAAAGCCGGGGACCAGCAAUGGCCUGGCGCUGAUAGAUGAGCCGAUGUCGGAUUAGCUAGUUGGUGAGGUAAUGGCUCACCAAGGCGACGAUCCGUAGCUGGUCUGAGAGGAUGAUCAGCCACACUGGAACUGAGACACGGUCCAGACUCCUACGGGAGGCAGCAGUGGGGAAUAUUGGACAAGUGGGCGCAAGCCUGAUCCAGCCAUACCGCGUGGUGAAGAAGGCCUUGGUUGUAAACGCCCGUUUUAGUUAGGAAAGAAAGCAAGUUACGGUAAGUACCCGGUGUUCUGACGUACCAAAGAAUAAGCACCGACUAAC